Molecule: long non-coding RNA, 1543 nt
Organism: Oryctolagus cuniculus (rabbit)
Lineage: Eukaryota; Metazoa; Chordata; Mammalia; Lagomorpha; Leporidae
Source: RefSeq, a predicted model, not a curated record
GUAGCAAAGGUCAGAAGCAAGCGACUCAAGAAGCGGCCGCCUCCGUCUCCGAGAAUGAGCUACGUGUGCUCCUUGUCUGACGAGCUGGUCGCCAAAGCCGGGGAAGAGCUGCAGGAGAAGCCGGAAAGGAGGCUGAGGUACGUGCAGGCCCCUGGGGACAUGGCGCGCAUGGAGCACGCGACCCUAAGGGUGUCUCUGGACGAGGCCUUCCGGCCACGCAAGUUCGAUUACGAGUGGGCCCUGCAGCUCCUGGUCAGCUACCACAGCUGCCGGAGACGCUGGCGGAAGUGUCCAGUCACCUGAAGCCAUUGGGCUUGAAAGAUGUCCUCCCGGUGCGGCCCCACGGCGACCCCCGCGGCUGCCUCGUCCUCCGUGUCCGCCCAGACAGACGGACCCCAAGCUAAUCUCCCAUUCCGCGCCAUACACUCCAACUUAGAGAGGCUCCUUCAGUCUGAAGAAACCCAGAUGAAUGGAACUGUGAUUCUUGCGGAGUGAGCUUAUCGAAAGCAUCUCAUUUUGGUCCUUUUAUAGCCAAAAAGGUGAUUGGCAUCCUCCAGGGUAGUUUCCCCACUGGGAUAAAGGCAGUCCACGUAGUGAACAGACCGCGAAUAUUUAAAGGCAUUUUUGCCAUCAUCAGAACCAUUUCUGAAAGAGAAAACAGCAAACAGAUCCUUCCUCCACGGGUCUGACCCGAACUCUCCACACAGACCUCCAGGCUGGACGCCGCCACCCGGAACGCGGUGCUGCUGACCUCAGAGGACGACUUUGUGGGAGAGUUGUGCCAGCCUGGCCCCACCUGCGACAGCAUCACCGCCCGGCGCUGCUGCCUGCGGGACUGGCCUCAGAGGUGCGAGCUGGACGUCCCAGCUGCCCUCCUGCUGUUAGCCAGUCCCCUGAAACAAACAUCAGUGAGUCAGGUACCCUCCCUAGCGGGGACAGUGCCUUGGGAUCUGUGGACCGCGGGCACCCUGAGCAACCCCCGGGCCGCAGUGUGUCGGCUGGCAGUGUGGAUUCUCGAGGAUACAGCUGGGCUUCCUGGCCUAUCAGGGGAUUUUCCAUGCUGUGCUGGCAUUCAGGAAGAUGGCAGGCUGUGACCACAAGGAGAGGCAAGGAGGUGGAGCACCAGGCCUGAAACAGGCUCUCAGCAUCCCAGCAGCCAUCUUCGGUUUUCUGUUUGGUUCCUGAGUAAAACUUGAGUGCCAUCUUUUGUCUUCCUGUAUAUUGGUUCUAAUGCUUCCCCAUCUCUAAAGAGGCUUAGUUCCUCCUCCUCACAUCUGGACAAGCACCUGGUACUGUAGCAAGCUCUCCUGGGGCCCUGCAUGAACAGAAGCUAUUGUAAUUAGGGCAAUGAUUUCUUGGAUCCCAAACCAUUCUACCUCAUCACUUCUGAUGUCAAGUUCUCUCCACAUAAAACAAAGGUGGGAGGGUGUCUGGCAUGUUUACUGAAGUCCUGUCGGGUCUCCUGGUCUCCAGCUUAGACUUUUCAGCCUGCAAUGUUGCAUGAGCUAAUUCCUUACAAUAAAUCUCUUUCUAUGUAUGCUUA